UACGGAGGGGGCUAGCGUUGUUCGGAAUUACUGGGCGUAAAGCGCACGUAGGCGGCUUUGUAAGUUAGAGGUGAAAGCCCGGAGCUCAACUUCGGAAUUGCCUUUAAGACUGCAUCGCUUGAAUCAUGGAGAGGUCAGUGGAAUUCCGAGUGUAGAGGUGAAAUGCGUAGAUAUUCGGAAGAACACCAGUGGCGAAGGCGACUGACUGGACAUGUAUUGACGCUCAUGCACGAAAGCGUGGGGAGCAAACAGG
This 253-nucleotide ribosomal RNA is filed under the name uncultured bacterium. Its description in RNAcentral is "partial 16S ribosomal RNA". It matches the Rfam family "Bacterial small subunit ribosomal RNA", at positions 524 to 776 of the family's 1533-position model. The record is from RNAcentral.